This 524-nucleotide ribosomal RNA is filed under the name uncultured bacterium. RNAcentral describes it as "bacterial SSU rRNA". It matches the Rfam family "Bacterial small subunit ribosomal RNA", at positions 775 to 1296 of the family's 1533-position model. The record is from RNAcentral.
AGUAAAUAGAUACCCGGGUAGUCCACGCCGUAAACGAUGUCGACUUGGAGGUUGUGCCCUUGAGGCGUGGCUUCCGGAGCUAAACGCGUUAAAGUCGACCGCCUGGGGAGUACGGCCGCAAGGUUAAAACUCAAAUGAAUUGACGGGGGCCCGCACAGGCGGUGGAGCAUGUGGUUUAAUUCGAUGCAACGCGAAGAACCUUACCUACUCUUGACAUCCAGAGAACUUAGCAGAGAUGCUUUGGUGCCUUCGGGAACUCUGAGACAGGUGCUGCAUGGCUGUCGUCAGCUCGUGUUGUGAAAUGUUGGGUUAAGUCCCGCAACGAGCGCAACCCUUAUCCUUUGUUGCCAGCGGUUAGGCCGGGAACUCAAAGGAGACUGCCAGUGAUAAACUGGAGGAAGGUGGGGAUGACGUCAAGUCAUCAUGGCCCUUACGAGUAGGCUACACACGUGCUACAAUGGCGCAUACAAAGAGAAGCGACCUCGCGAGAGCAAGCGGACCUCAUAAAGUGCGUCGUAGUCCGG